GAUGAACGCUGGCGGCGUGCCUAAUACAUGCAAGUCGAGCGAACGGACGAGAAGCUUGCUUCUCUGAUGUUAGCGGCGGACGGGUGAGUAACACGUGGAUAACCUACCUAUAAGACUGGGAUAACUUCGGGAAACCGUAGCUAAUACCGGAUAAUAUUUUGAACCGCAUGGUUCAAAAGUGAAAGACGGUCUUGCUGUCACUUAUAGAUGGAUCCGCGCUGCAUUAGCUAGUUGGUAAGGUAACGGCUUACCAAGGCAACGAUGCAUAGCCGACCUGAGAGGGGUAUCGGCCACACGGAAUCUGAGACACGGUCGAGACCCCUAGGGGAGGAAGCUGUAGGGAAUCGUCCGCAAGGGGCGAAAGCCUGACGGAGCAACGCCGCGUGAGUGAUGAAGGUCUUGGGAUCGUAAAACUCUGUUAUUAGGGAAGAAAAUAUGUGUAAGUAACUGUGCACAUUUUGAGGGUACCAAAUCAGAAAGCCACGGCUAACUGCG
Molecule: ribosomal RNA, 495 nt
Filed under: uncultured bacterium
Lineage: Bacteria
Description: partial 16S ribosomal RNA
Rfam family: Bacterial small subunit ribosomal RNA
Source: RNAcentral